GCUUCGGUAGCUCAGUAGGUAGAGCACCUGACUGUUAAUCAGGGGGUCGUCUGUUCGAGUCAGACUCGGAGCG
RNAcentral lists this transfer RNA (73 nucleotides) under Microcaldota archaeon. RNAcentral describes it as "tRNA-Asn". It matches the Rfam family "tRNA". Rfam says of the family: Transfer RNA (tRNA) molecules are approximately 80 nucleotides in length. Their secondary structure includes four short double-helical elements and three loops (D, anti-codon, and T loops). Further hydrogen bonds mediate the characteristic L-shaped molecular structure. tRNAs have two regions of fundamental functional importance: the anti-codon, which is responsible for specific mRNA codon recognition, and the 3' end, to which the tRNAs corresponding amino acid is attached (by aminoacyl-tRNA synthetases). tRNAs cope with the degeneracy of the genetic code in two manners: having more than one tRNA (with a specific anti-codon) for a particular amino acid; and 'wobble' base-pairing, i.e. permitting non-standard base-pairing at the 3rd anti-codon position. The record is from RNAcentral. Lineage: Archaea; Nanobdellati; Microcaldota.